CUCAAACGUGCCCCUAAGCUGUGCAUCCACCCAGGACCUCAGCCGUCCAUACCUUCUGGGGUCAGCACAUCAGGCAGCGGACACGUGGCUGGAUUGCGCGGCGAGUGGUCGGAACCCUGGGAUAAACUUGAUUAUUUUAGCAGCACCCCAACCAGGUUUUUAAGAAUAAAAGUCGAAAAUAUACUCCACUGGCAGCUCCAGAUUUGAGUCCUGUUUCAGACGCAUCUUCUACUGAGCACCAUUGAUGGGCACCACAGCUCACGACGUCCUGGCAAAUAAUUCACACUGACCGUAGCGACUCUUCGAAAAGGCAGCAGGUUCUGAAACUCAUACCUUCCCCCAAUAAUUGACUUCCUGUUAGUGAAAGGAGACAUUGCUUUUUCCUCCCCACAGGGAGAAAACUCUUCAGAUGGCUUGGAGCUGUUUCAGGCGGAGCCUGCAGAGCAGGGAGAGCUGGGGACGUUGUCACAGGGGCCAGCUCGCUGACCCGAGACUGCAAGGACAUUCCUCCUCUUUAAAAUCUGGAUGGCUGAGGACCUGCCUU
Molecule: long non-coding RNA, 544 nt
Filed under: Equus asinus (donkey)
Lineage: Eukaryota; Metazoa; Chordata; Mammalia; Perissodactyla; Equidae
Description: lncRNA (ENSEASG00005024845.1)
Source: RNAcentral